Molecule: ribosomal RNA, 492 nt
Filed under: uncultured bacterium
Lineage: Bacteria
Description: partial 16S ribosomal RNA
Rfam family: Bacterial small subunit ribosomal RNA
Source: RNAcentral
AGUGAACGCUGGCGGUAGGCCUAACACAUGCAAGUCGAACGGCAGCACAGUAAGAGCUUGCCCUUACGGGUGGCGAGUGGCAGCCGGGUGAGGAAUACACUGCAAUCUACUAUUUCGCGGGGGAUAACGUAGGGAAACUUACGCUAAUACCGCAUACGACGUACGGGUGAACUCAGGGGAUCUUCGGCCCUUGCGCGAUUGAAUGAGGCGAUAUCGGAUUAGCUAGUUGGGGGGGUAAAGGCCUACCAAGGCGACGAUCCGUAGCGGGUCUGAGAGGAUGAUCGGGCAGCCUGGAACUGAGACACGGUCGCGACACCUGCAGGAGGCCGCAGUCGGGAAUAUUGGGCAAGGGGGGAGAGCCUGAUCCAGCCAUACCGCGUGGGUGAAGGAGGCCUUCGGGUGGGAAAGCGCUUUUGUUGGGAAAGAAGAGCAGUGGUUUAAUACCCCGCUAUUCUGACGGUACCUAAUGAAUAAGCACCGGCUAACUUCGUG